GCCCCGGUGGUGUAGUGGUAGAGCACGCGUCGCCGGAUAGAAUAAAACGCGGGUUCGAUUCUCUCCUGAGGCA
Parelaphostrongylus tenuis is the source of this 73-nucleotide non-coding RNA. The record is from the annotation of a GenBank genome assembly. NCBI's taxonomy places the organism in Eukaryota, Metazoa, Nematoda, Chromadorea, Rhabditida, Metastrongylidae.